UACGUAGGUGGCAAGCGUUAUCCGGAAUUAUUGGGCGUAAAGCGCGCGCAGGUGGUUCCUUAAGUCUGAUGUGAAAGCCCACGGCUCAACCGUGGAGGGUCAUUGGAAACUGGGGAACUUGAGUGCAGAAGAGGAAAGUGGAAUUCCAAGUGUAGCGGUGAAAUGCGUAGAGAUUUGGAGGAACACCAGUGGCGAAGGCGACUUUCUGGUCUGUAACUGACACUGAGGCGCGAAAGCGUGGGGAGCGAACCGG
Molecule: ribosomal RNA, 253 nt
Filed under: uncultured bacterium
Lineage: Bacteria
Description: partial 16S ribosomal RNA
Rfam family: Bacterial small subunit ribosomal RNA
Source: RNAcentral